RNAcentral lists this ribosomal RNA (2904 nucleotides) under Escherichia coli. RNAcentral's name for it is "bacterial LSU rRNA". It matches the Rfam family "Bacterial large subunit ribosomal RNA". The record is from RNAcentral. Lineage: Bacteria; Pseudomonadati; Pseudomonadota; Gammaproteobacteria; Enterobacterales; Enterobacteriaceae.
UUAAGCGACUAAGCGUACACGGUGGAUGCCCUGGCAGUCAGAGGCGAUGAAGGACGUGCUAAUCUGCGAUAAGCGUCGGUAAGGUGAUAUGAACCGUUAUAACCGGCGAUUUCCGAAUGGGGAAACCCAGUGUGUUUCGACACACUAUCAUUAACUGAAUCCAUAGGUUAAUGAGGCGAACCGGGGGAACUGAAACAUCUAAGUACCCCGAGGAAAAGAAAUCAACCGAGAUUCCCCCAGUAGCGGCGAGCGAACGGGGAGGAGCCCAGAGCCUGAAUCAGUGUGUGUGUUAGUGGAAGCGUCUGGAAAGGCGUGCGAUACAGGGUGACAGCCCCGUACACAAAAAUGCACAUAUUGUGAGCUCGAUGAGUAGGGCGGGACACGUGGUAUCCUGUCUGAAUAUGGGGGGACCAUCCUCCAAGGCUAAAUACUCCUGACUGACCGAUAGUGAACCAGUACCGUGAGGGAAAGGCGAAAAGAACCCCGGCGAGGGGAGUGAAAAAGAACCUGAAACCGUGUACGUACAAGCAGUGGGAGCCUCUUAAUGGGGUGACUGCGUACCUUUUGUAUAAUGGGUCAGCGACUUAUAUUCUGUAGCAAGGUUAACCGAAUAGGGGAGCCGAAGGGAAACCGAGUCUUAACUGGGCGUUAAGUUGCAGGGUAUAGACCCGAAACCCGGUGAUCUAGCCAUGGGGCAGGUUGAAGGUUGGGUAACACUAACUGGAGGACCGAACCGACUAAUGUUGAAAAAUUAGCGGAUGACUUGUGGCUGGGGGUGAAAGGCCAAUCAAACCGGGAGAUAGCUGGUUCUCCCCGAAAGCUAUUUAGGUAGCGCCUCGUGAAUUCAUCUCCGGGGGUAGAGCACUGUUUCGGCAAGGGGGUCAUCCCGACUUACCAACCCGAUGCAAACUGCGAAUACCGGAGAAUGUUAUCACGGGAGACACACGGCGGGUGCUAACGUCCGUCGUGAAGAGGGAAACAACCCAGACCGCCAGCUAAGGUCCCAAAGUCAUGGUUAAGUGGGAAACGAUGUGGGAAGGCCCAGACAGCCAGGAUGUUGGCUUAGAAGCAGCCAUCAUUUAAAGAAAGCGUAAUAGCUCACUGGUCGAGUCGGCCUGCGCGGAAGAUGUAACGGGGCUAAACCAUGCACCGAAGCUGCGGCAGCGACGCUUAUGCGUUGUUGGGUAGGGGAGCGUUCUGUAAGCCUGUGAAGGUGUACUGUGAGGUAUGCUGGAGGUAUCAGAAGUGCGAAUGCUGACAUAAGUAACGAUAAAGCGGGUGAAAAGCCCGCUCGCCGGAAGACCAAGGGUUCCUGUCCAACGUUAAUCGGGGCAGGGUGAGUCGACCCCUAAGGCGAGGCCGAAAGGCGUAGUCGAUGGGAAACAGGUUAAUAUUCCUGUACUUGGUGUUACUGCGAAGGGGGGACGGAGAAGGCUAUGUUGGCCGGGCGACGGUUGUCCCGGUUUAAGCGUGUAGGCUGGUUUUCCAGGCAAAUCCGGAAAAUCAAGGCUGAGGCGUGAUGACGAGGCACUACGGUGCUGAAGCAACAAAUGCCCUGCUUCCAGGAAAAGCCUCUAAGCAUCAGGUAACAUCAAAUCGUACCCCAAACCGACACAGGUGGUCAGGUAGAGAAUACCAAGGCGCUUGAGAGAACUCGGGUGAAGGAACUAGGCAAAAUGGUGCCGUAACUUCGGGAGAAGGCACGCUGAUAUGUAGGUGAAGCGACUUGCUCGUGGAGCUGAAAUCAGUCGAAGAUACCAGCUGGCUGCAACUGUUUAUUAAAAACACAGCACUGUGCAAACACGAAAGUGGACGUAUACGGUGUGACGCCUGCCCGGUGCCGGAAGGUUAAUUGAUGGGGUUAGCGGUAACGCGAAGCUCUUGAUCGAAGCCCCGGUAAACGGCGGCCGUAACUAUAACGGUCCUAAGGUAGCGAAAUUCCUUGUCGGGUAAGUUCCGACCUGCACGAAUGGCGUAAUGAUGGCCAGGCUGUCUCCACCCGAGACUCAGUGAAAUUGAACUCGCUGUGAAGAUGCAGUGUACCCGCGGCAAGACGGAAAGACCCCGUGAACCUUUACUAUAGCUUGACACUGAACAUUGAGCCUUGAUGUGUAGGAUAGGUGGGAGGCUUUGAAGUGUGGACGCCAGUCUGCAUGGAGCCGACCUUGAAAUACCACCCUUUAAUGUUUGAUGUUCUAACGUUGGCCCCUGAUCGGGGUUGCGGACAGUGUCUGGUGGGUAGUUUGACUGGGGCGGUCUCCUCCUAAAGAGUAACGGAGGAGCACGAAGGUUGGCUAAUCCUGGUCGGACAUCAGGAGGUUAGUGCAAUGGCAUAAGCCAGCUUGACUGCGAGCGUGACGGCGCGAGCAGGUGCGAAAGCAGGUCAUAGUGAUCCGGUGGUUCUGAAUGGAAGGGCCAUCGCUCAACGGAUAAAAGGUACUCCGGGGAUAACAGGCUGAUACCGCCCAAGAGUUCAUAUCGACGGCGGUGUUUGGCACCUCGAUGUCGGCUCAUCACAUCCUGGGGCUGAAGUAGGUCCCAAGGGUAUGGCUGUUCGCCAUUUAAAGUGGUACGCGAGCUGGGUUUAGAACGUCGUGAGACAGUUCGGUCCCUAUCUGCCGUGGGCGCUGGAGAACUGAGGGGGGCUGCUCCUAGUACGAGAGGACCGGAGUGGACGCAUCACUGGUGUUCGGGUUGUCAUGCCAAUGGCACUGCCCGGUAGCUAAAUGCGGAAGAGAUAAGUGCUGAAAGCAUCUAAGCACGAAACUUGCCCCGAGAUGAGUUCUCCCUGAGACUUUAAGUCUCCUGAAGGAACGUUGAAGACGACGACGUUGAUAGGCCGGGUGUGUAAGCGCAGCGAUGCGUUGAGCUAACCGGUACUAAUGAACCGUGAGGCUUAACCUU